Molecule: ribosomal RNA, 442 nt
Filed under: uncultured bacterium
Lineage: Bacteria
Description: partial 16S ribosomal RNA
Rfam family: Bacterial small subunit ribosomal RNA
Source: RNAcentral
CUACGGGUUGCAGCAGUGGGGAAUAUUGGACAAUGGACCAAGAGUCUGAUCCAGCAAUUCUGUGUGUUUGAUGAAGGCCUUCGGGUUGUAAAGAACUUUAAGUAGGGAAGAAGAAAGUGACGGUACCUACAGAAUAAGCGACGGCUAAAUACGUGCCAGCAGCCGCGGUAAUACGUAUGUCGCAAGCGUUAUCCGGAAUUAUUGGGCAUAAAGCGCGUCUAGGCGGUUUAUUAAGUCUGAUGUGAAAAUGCGGGGCUCAACUCCGUAUUGCGUUGGAAACUGGUAGGCUAGAGUAUUGGAGAGGUAGGCGGAGCUACAAGUGUAGAGGUGAAAUUCGUAGAUAUUUGUAGGAAUGCCAAUUGGGAAGCCAGCUUACUGGACAAAUACUGACGCUGAAGCGCGAAAGCUAGGGGAGCAAACAGGAUUAGAUACCCCGGUAGUC